GUCAACUUUGAUUUCAUGUAGACAAAUAGUAGUAAGUAAUUGUUUCUUGUUUAUACAAUGUUAAUGUCAUGCCAUUCUGAACUGUUUGCUGUCUGUGUGCUUCACAGGGUGACCGAGGAUUCGAUGGGCUCGCUGGUUUGCCUGGAGAAAAGGGUCACAGGGGUGAGACGGGUCCUCAGGGGCCUCCUGGGCCUCCAGGAGAGGAUGGAGAAAGAGGUGAUGAUGGUGAGGUCGGACCCAGAGGUCUGCCCGGAGAAUCGGGUCCUCGUGGUUUGUUGGGCCCCAAAGGUCCCCAAGGGCCUCCAGGACCUCCCGUAAGUACAAACUUUAUCUUUUUUUUUAUGAUUUAUAUUUUAGACACUUUACACGCAUACAUUUUUUUUUAUCUUUAUCUGAAUCAAUUUGUUGGUUUUCAUCAGUCAAGUCCCCAACCUUCAUGAUAUUGUUCCACUUAUUUAAGAAAGAAACAGCUUAAUUAUUAAUGUCCUAAUUUUUUUUUUUAAUGUGAGAAUAUAAAAAUGUGUGAAUAUUUUUUAAACGUGUUAAACUAUCAUUUUAGGGUGUGACUGGUAUGGACGGACAUCCUGGACCUAAAGGAAACAUUGUAAGUCUGAAACACACACACACACACACACACACACACACACACACACACACUCUUGUGCAUAUUCAAACAUGCUUAUACACACACAUAUUCACUUUAUUAUGCUUCUUUUUUCACUCAUCAGGGUCCUCAGGGUGAGCCAGGACCUCCAGGUCAACAAGGCAACCCCGGAGCUCAGGUAUUCGUCAAGCCACGCCCACUUAGACAUGUUCUAACCCACCUGUCACUGACCUAUUAACCAGUUCAUGUCCUCUAAUUCUGUCCUCUUCCACAGGGACUUCCAGGUCCUCAGGGAGCGAUCGGACCUCCAGGAGAGAAGGUGAGACCACAUGAGUGGAUGAUCAAUGGAUGCUUCUCUGGUUAAUUCAUUAAAAGCC
This 981-nucleotide long non-coding RNA is filed under the name Carassius auratus (goldfish). Its description in RNAcentral is "lncRNA (ENSCARG00000020762.1)". Lineage: Eukaryota; Metazoa; Chordata; Actinopteri; Cypriniformes; Cyprinidae. The record is from RNAcentral.